UACGUAGGGUGCGAGCGUUAAUCGGAAUUACUGGGCGUAAAGCGUGCGCAGGCGGUUGUGCAAGACAGGGGUGAAAUCCCCGGGCUUAACCUGGGAAUGGCCUUUGUGACUGCACGGCUAGAGUGUGUCAGAGGGAGGUAGAAUUCCACGUGUAGCAGUGAAAUGCGUAGAUAUGGGGAGGAAUACCGAUGGCGAAGGCAGCCUCCUGGGAUAACACUGACGCUCAUGCACGAAAGCGUGGGGAGCAAACAGG
Molecule: ribosomal RNA, 253 nt
Filed under: uncultured bacterium
Lineage: Bacteria
Description: partial 16S ribosomal RNA
Rfam family: Bacterial small subunit ribosomal RNA
Source: RNAcentral